AGUGAACGCUGGCGGUAGGCCUAACACAUGCAAGUCGAACGGCAGCACAGUAAGAGCUUGCUCUUACGGGUGGCGAGUGGCGGACGGGUGAGGAAUACAUCGGGAUCUACUUUUUCGUGGGGGAUAACGUAGGGAACUUACGCUAAUACCGCAUACGACCUACGGGUGAAAGCAGGGGAUCUUCGGACCUUGCGCGAUUGAAUGAGCCGAUGUCGGAUUAGCUAGUUGGCGGGGUAAAGGCCCACCAAGGCGACGAUCCGUAGCUGGUCUGAGAGGAUGAUCAGCCACACUGGAACUGAGACACGGUCCAGACUCCUACGGGAGGCAGCAGUGGGGAAUAUUGGACAAUGGGCGCAAGCCUGAUCCAGCCAUACCGCGUGGGUGAAGAAGGCCUUCGGGUUGUAAAGCCCUUUUGUUGGGAAAGAAAAGCAGCAGGUUAAUACCCCGCUGUUCUGACGGUACCCAAAGAAUAAGCACCGGCUAACUUCGUG
This 491-nucleotide ribosomal RNA is filed under the name uncultured bacterium. RNAcentral's name for it is "partial 16S ribosomal RNA". It matches the Rfam family "Bacterial small subunit ribosomal RNA", at positions 29 to 507 of the family's 1533-position model. The record is from RNAcentral.